AAACGAUGAGUGCUAAGUGUUAGGGGGUUUCCGCCCCUUAGUGCUGCAGCUAACGCAUUAAGCACUCCGCCUGGGGAGUACGGUCGCAAGACUGAAACUCAAAGGAAUUGACGGGGGCCCGCACAAGCGGUGGAGCAUGUGGUUUAAUUCGAAGCAACGCGAAGAACCUUACCAGGUCUUGACAUCCUCUGACAACCCUAGAGAUAGGGCUUUCCCUUCGGGGACAGAGUGACAGGUGGUGCAUGGUUGUCGUCAGCUCGUGUCGUGAGAUGUUGGGUUAAGUCCCGCAACGAGCGCAACCCUUGAUCUUAGUUGCCAGCAUUCAGUUGGGCACUCUAAGGUGACUGCCGGUGACAAACCGGAGGAAAGUGGGGAUGACGUCAAUCAUCAUGCCCCUUAUGACCUGGGCUACACACGUGCUACAAUGGACAGAACAAAGGGCUGCCAGACCGCAAGGUUUAGCCAAUCCCAUAAAUCUGUUCUCAGUUCGGAUCGCAGUCUGCAACUCGACUGCGUGAAGCUGGAAUCGCUAGUAUCGCGGAUCAGCAUGCGCGGGGAAUACGUUCCCGGGCUUGUAACACCGCCCGCACCCCCCAGAGUUGCAAACCCGAAUCGGGAGGUAACCUUUAUGGAGCAGCGCCGAAGUGGGGAGAUGAUUGGGUGAAGUCGUACAGGUAGCCGUAUCGAGGGCGUG
This 694-nucleotide ribosomal RNA is filed under the name Bacillus sp. SKR6. RNAcentral's name for it is "bacterial SSU rRNA". It matches the Rfam family "Bacterial small subunit ribosomal RNA", at positions 804 to 1516 of the family's 1533-position model. Lineage: Bacteria; Bacillati; Bacillota; Bacilli; Caryophanales; Bacillaceae. The record is from RNAcentral.